AGCGAACGCUGGCGGCAGGCCUAACACAUGCAAGUCGAACGAACUCUUCGGAGUUAGUGGCGGACGGGUGAGUAACACGUGGGAACGUGCCUUUAGGUUCGGAAUAACUCAGGGAAACUUGUGCUAAUACCGAAUGUGCCCUUCGGGGGAAAGAUUUAUCGCCUUUAGAGCGGCCCGCGUCUGAUUAGCUAGUUGGUGAGGUAAAGGCUCACCAAGGCGACGAUCAGUAGCUGGUCUGUGAGGAUGAUCAGCCACAUUGGGACUGAGACACGGCCCAAACUCCUACGGGAGGCAGCAGUGGGGAAUCUUGCGCAAUGGGCGAAAGCCUGACGCAGCCAUGCCGCGUGAAUGAUGAAGGUCUUAGGAUUGUAAAAUUCUUUCACCGGGGACGAUAAUGACGGUACCCGGAGAAGAAGCCCCGGCUAACUUCGUG
This 433-nucleotide ribosomal RNA is filed under the name uncultured bacterium. Its description in RNAcentral is "partial 16S ribosomal RNA". It matches the Rfam family "Bacterial small subunit ribosomal RNA", at positions 29 to 507 of the family's 1533-position model. The record is from RNAcentral.